UAAGCGGAGGAAAAGAAACUAACAAGGAUUCCCCUAGUAACGGCGAGUGAAGCGGGAUGAGCUCAAAUUUAAAAUCUGGCAGUCUAAGAUUGUCCGAGUUGUAGUCUAGAGAAGCGUUUUCCGCGUAGGCCUGUGUACAAGUCCCUUGGAAUAGGGCGUCAUAGAGGGUGAGAAUCCCGUCCUUGACACAGAUCAUCUAUGCUUUGUGAUGCGCUCUCGAAGAGUCGAGUUGUUUGGGAAUGCAGCUCAAAAUGGGUGGUAAAUUCCAUCUAAAGCUAAAUACUGGCGAGAGACCGAUAGCGAACAAGUACCGUGAGGAAAGAUGAAAAGCACUUUGGAAAGAGAGUUAAACAGUACGUGAAAUUGUUGAAAGGGAAACGAUUGAAGUCAGUCAUGUGGUUCGAGAUUCAGCCGGUUCUGCCGGUGUAUUUCUCGAGCUACAGGCCAGCAUCAGUUUCGACCGGUGGAAAAAGUUGGAGGGAAUGUGGCAUCCUCGGAUGUGUUAUAGCCCUCUUUCACAUGCAUCGGACGGGACUGAGGAACGCAGCGUGCCUUUAUGGUCGGUCUUCGGACACGAACGCGCUUAAGAUGCUGGCAUAAUGGCUUUAAACGACCCGUCUUGAAACACG
Molecule: ribosomal RNA, 629 nt
Filed under: Udeniomyces puniceus
Lineage: Eukaryota; Fungi; Basidiomycota; Tremellomycetes; Cystofilobasidiales; Mrakiaceae
Description: eukaryotic LSU rRNA
Rfam family: Eukaryotic large subunit ribosomal RNA
Source: RNAcentral